Molecule: long non-coding RNA, 7227 nt
Organism: Mesocricetus auratus (golden hamster)
Lineage: Eukaryota; Metazoa; Chordata; Mammalia; Rodentia; Cricetidae
Exons: 2
Source: RefSeq, a predicted model, not a curated record
GUCAGCAGCAGAACGCCCCCUAGCCCAGUCACGUCCCACACAGAGGUCACUUCUGGUUCCGGGAGGUGCCACGGUGUCAGCUGGGAGUAGCCUGGGAAUCCAGACAGAUGGGUGAGGCCACAAUUGGAGACACUGAGCUCAGCUGCUCCCACCUCAGCAUGUCGGCCUGAUUUUGGAGUGGGAGCUGAAGGGGAGAGCAGAGGAGCUGCUGGGAUUGCGGGUGGCGCUGCUGUGGCUGCUGCUGCUCUAAAACCAUCUGAAAAUGCUUCCAGGGCACUGAGGAGCUGCCUCCCCCACCUCCACCUCCCGGACAUGAGCAGGGACCAGCUCAUGGGGCUGGGACCCGAGCUCCUGUGGCUGCUGCUGCCCUGCAGCCAACCAUCUGACAUCCCUGCCAGGGAGGUGAGCAGCAGCCUCCCCCACCUCCAGCUCCUGGACAAGAGCACAGAGAAGCUCAUGGCGCUGGAAGCGAAGCUGCUGACUCAGAGCAGCCUGAACAACAGGCUAGACAACACAGGCUUGCUGAUGGAGGGACUCGACCAGUCUCCACUCUGUUUCAGACUCCAGAAUGCUCUUUCUCCCUGCAGCUCUGCCUCACACAGCUCCACAUUCCCAGAGUUUGUCUGACUCAGAAGAUGAAGCCAGUGAUCCUGCACACAGAAUGCAAAGUAUUCUUCUCAUUUGACAACAUUGGGUGCACAAAAAAUGAAAACUAAGAAAAGAUCAUAAAAGAAAAUGGAGCUUGGAUUUGAUUAUAAAGCUCGGUGGUUUCCUCUUUACUGUCCAUGUAAGAUUGAAGAUUUUGACGUUUAUGUAUCUCUUCAGCAUGAUUGAAUCCAGUUUCCUGUUUAGAUUUUUGAGUAUAAUUUAUUCUAAAUAGCAGUUCAAAAUUUGGCUGGUUGGUCACAAUUUUCACUUAAAUCGUUGAUGAGAAGCUAACAGAAUGGUAUAUUUAGAGGAAUUGUCAUAAUCAGCCUGGAAUGGUGUCUCCUGGGACACUUGGGUUGACUAAAGUAAGUCAUCAUGACACUUGUAACACCAGAGUUGUUCUGUUUUGCCUGAAAAUUAUGCCAUAAAUAGAAUGAGGCUUCUCCUUGGGUUACCCCUUCAAACUCUAACUAACUAACAGGUUAUAAAUGAUUAUCACUUUUAAAUUGAAUAUUUAACCUUCAGAUCUUGUUUUGUGUUAUUUUAGUAAGUUUAUGCAAUCUAUAUGUGAUUAUAAUUAGUAUGGAUAUGGAGUCUUUGGAGUCUUAUUCUAGAGAUUGUUUUAGAACACUCUACAACCUGAUACAAUGCAAAACACUUGGGAAUAUACUUUAGCAGACUAGGUAAUCAACUGUAUAUGUAAUUCCCGAAUCCCACAGACCUAGAACUCUUUAUGUAGAAUGUGCUGAUCAGGAACUCUGAGAAACACCUGACUCAAGCUCCUGAUGAUGGCAUUACAGAUAUAUGCAGCCACCUACUUACAUUUCAUGUUAACUUUGUUUUGUUAACUGCAAUGAUCUCUUGUAAUCAUGCCCUUUAUGUUUUUAGGAGGCCAGACUCGUGAAACAUCAACUUGCCAACAGACAGAAUUACUGUACUUGCUAGAAAAAUCUAAUCUUAAGUAAUCUAAGAAAGUCUGGUUCAAAACAUUGAACUAAAUGAGGGAAAGUUGGACAUAAUUGUGCAUACAUACAAACAAGUACUUGGGAGGUACAAGCAGAAGAUCAGGAGUUCAAAGUUAGCAUAGGCAUCAUAGUAUAGUUGAAGCCAUCCAGGAAUAUUUACGUGAAACCUUAUCUAAAAGUGGGGGUGAGUUGGGGUGGGAUGGAUAGUAACUGUCAAAAGUUCACAUUUGCUUGUGUUGUAUACUAAAUGCAAAGUUUCUCUGCAUUUAAUAGUAAAAUUACAACUGGAUACCACUACAGUUGAAGGUAGUCAGAAGUAAAGCUCAUUGUAUCCAUUCACAAUAGAAUAGUUCACAAAAUUGGUUUAACCACUGAACAUUAAGAAAGUAGUUUUGAAAAAGCAGUAAUGAAAAUACUAAAAUGGUGUUUCCUUUAAGUGUAGCGCAAACUGUUGACAUUGAAUAUUAACAAAUUAUACUAUUGAAUUAUGCAAUAAAAAUAAGAAUAAAACUAUAAUUUGGCAUUAGGAAAUAGAUAUUUAACUCUUACUGCUGAGGAUUAAAUAACAUAACUGUAAUAACAUUAAGAUUGGUUGGUCAGAACUAAAGGAAGCUUCAGUUUGCAUUAGUGAGUUAGGUGAGCAUUUAAAGGGUGCCUUGUUAGAAUCUAGUAGUAUGCUAGAAUAUUUGUAUGUUUCUUAUCAUAUAUAUGUAUAUAUAAAAUUUUAUUUUAGUUGGUUAUUUUAGGAGGUUAUAGUAGUAGUCUAUGUGUAAAUUCAGGUUUUGUGUGUGUUUUUGUUGUAUCAUGAAACAGGAGUUUCAUGACUGCAGUUAUGAAACGCUGCUAUAGUGAGUCCCCUUACCUUAUCCUCAUAAUAGUGUAGUAAGUUCAUUUUUAAUUCUCUUUUCUUCGAGAUUUUUUUCUGUGUUCAUAAAAGUGAUGUUUUUACAGCCUAUGUAAUUAGAUGAUAGUAGUUACAAACUCUUUUAUUUUCACACAGUGUGCAACAUUAAACUGCCUAUUCCAAAAUUUGGAAAGGCAUAGAUGACUUGGCAUGUCCCGACAUAUCAAACUGUAAAUAUUUUGUAAUUAGAUGACUUAGUUAUGCAACAUAGAAUGUUUUCAUGGAAAACAAUCAAAAUGAUGGGGCCUUAUACUCCUGGAUUAAAUCCUGUAGUUCCUGGAUUGAUAAAUAUCUUGACCUAAGAAAUAAUAUGAGUAGUCAUUGAACAGGUGUCUGUUUCUUCUUUCAUAAAUGUAUAGAUUUCAGCCUGUGAUAUGUAAAUGUAUCCUAUGGUGGUCUUUCAGAAAGUUUUUAUUAUGUUUUGUGUGUGUAUAAUUAAAUUCUGAAUAGCGUAACAAAUCAGUAGUUUUGGCAGAGAUGUGGAUUAUAAAGACAGAUGCAGUACCUUGUACAUCCUUAGCAAGCUAUUGUCCAUGCUUAGAGCAUAGAUUGUCUUUAGUGCAAUCUUCUUUGGUAGUUAUUUUACCUCCUUUUUUUUGGUUUAGUUUUAUCUUUUUAAGCCAACUGAGGCCUUAUCUUUAACAAAAGCUACCAAUAAUUGCUAUUUUUUUCUUUUCCAUACUUUUUAUUUUUAAAAACUGACUAUAGGCAUUAACUUGGAGAGAUAGGAAUUAGACAUCCAAAGUAUACGGAAUGUAUUUUAAGUUUCAGUGUGUCUCGCUAGUUACAAAUCCCAACUUUAUUGACCAAAGAAAUCUUAGAGUAUCAGAAUCAGAAAGGGGGUAGUUUUCAUAAUACACCUAUUUCAUUUUCUGAGACAGAGCAUUGCUAGCUUUGAAAUGGGAAUGUAGACAAGUCUGUCCUGUUUGUAAUGCUCUUGACUGGGCUUCCCAAACAUUGUAAUCACAUGUGUAAACCAUUAGCCUGGCUAAAUAUUCUACUUAGAAAUGUAGCAAAGGUGCCUGUUUCUAAAAAUAUUGAUUUCUAUAUUACCCUUUCCAAAAUAAAAAAAUGUAAAUUGUAAAUUGUCUUCAAAUAUGAGAAAAUUGGGUAUUAUAAAUAACAAUAAAGAAUAAAGUUAGUCCUCAUUAGGACAAGACCUUAUUGCAGAUUGGUUCUAACAAACAGUGGAUAUACAGGGUAAAAAUGAAGACUCAAAAAGAUUCUGUUUGAUGGAACAGAAUGUUAAUUAAAAUAAAUCAUUAAAGACAGCAAAGAAUAAUAGAAUUUAUUUCCAAGGAAUCCAAUGAUCUAAUAAAGCCCUGAAUAGUAAUAAAGAGUUAUCUUAAAUUGAUUCACCAAAUUUCCUACUACUAAUAUCUGAAAAAAUUAUCAAUAAUUGGGAAGUUCCUUACUGCCAAAUUUAUUAUUGAGUCCUCUCUGCCAUUAAGUUGCUCCCUACCAAGCAGAGCAAGCUACCUGUAGGCUUUCAUUCAGUCUUGCUCUUCCCAGAGUUCCCAUUGGAAAGUAGUUUUUUUUUUUUGGCCUGGUUUAUAAUAGCGCAGGGUAGCCUUAGUUUACAUUUUGGUUCACUUUUUUUAAAAAUUACAAAUUAAAUUUUAGUAGCAGCUAUUUACAUAAAGAAUGUAAUGUUAAUCUUUAACUUUCCAUGUGAGUCCUUGUAGAUAGGUUACUAAUAAAAGUAUAUAUAUAUAUAUUAUAUUAUAUUAGUAGACUAGAUGGUAAUUCAGGUUUUGUGUGUGUUUAUGUUAUUUCAUGAAACAGGAGUUUCAUGACUGCAGUUGUGAAACGCUGCUAUAAUGAGUCCCCUUACCUUUUCCUCAGAAUAGUGUAAUAAGAUCAUUUUUAUUUUUUAGACAUUUUUUUCUGUUUAUAAAAGUGAUGUUUCUACUGCUAAUGUAAUUUUAUGACAGUAGUUAUAAAGUUGUUUCUUUUUUUCACACUGAGCAACAUCAAGCUGCCUAUUCCAUAAUUAGGAAAGGCACAGAAGACUUAACGGGUUCCCACGUAUCAAACUGUAAAUAUUUUGUAAUUAGAUGACUUAGUUAAGCAACAUAGAAUGUUUUCAUGGAAAACAUUCAGAAUGAUGGGACCAUACACUCCUGGAUUAAAUCCUGUACUUUCAUGAUUGAUAGUCAUCCUUACCUAACUAAUGAUAUGAGUAGUCUUUUAGGAAUUACUUGUAAAUAGCCUUGUAAAUGGAGCAUCUAACAAUAUAUACCCUUUCAAGCCUCCUAGAAAAAGGUAUACUUUUUCUUCUUUCAUAAAUCUAGAUAUUCCUGCCUAUGGCAUAUAAAUGUUUGAUAUUGUCCUCUUUCAACAAAGUUUUUAUUGUGGAUUUUUAUGUUUAUAGUUUAAACUAUGUAAAUAGUACACCAAACCAGACUUUUUGCCAGAAAUGGUUAUUAUAGAGAAAGAUUCAGAGUGUUGUACAUGUUGAAAAAGCUACAUUCUAUGCAUAACAUCGAUAGCUUUUAGGGAAAUCCUCAUUGGUACCUUAUCUACUUGUUUUGGUUGUUGUUUUAUAUUUUUCUUAUUUUUUUAUCCAGUUUGUCAUUACCAUUUAACGGAGCUGCAAUAAUUGCUAAGUUUUUCUUCUUUUUCACACUUUUCACUUAAAAAAAUAACUUACUAUAGACAUUACUUGAUGAGACAUAAAUAGAUAAUCUCAGUAUAUGAUCAUCUUCUUAAGAUAUCAUAUUACAUCAAAUAUGAAGAUGGGCAUCAAAGAAAGUCGUUGUGGAGUGUGCCUUUGACAUGAUAGGACUACCCAUUUGGACAAAAAGCUUCACUUCCUGGAAUGCUUCACAGGAAAUUGUCAAAACAGGUCAAGCAGGUUACAAAGAAAUGUUACUGCUGAACUUGCAAAGGAACAGUAUGAUUAUUCAUUAACCUGCUUUAUCAAAACGUCAGCCAGUCAUUCUGUGGCUAUAUGCUGAAGAGGGAUUCCACAUUGGUGCAGAGGAUCCUAGGGUGACUUUCUAGGCAUCGAGAUCUCACUGACAGUUCUAGAAUAUAUAUUAUCCUACUGGAUUCUUUUCUGGUGUUGAAGAAAGAUAGUUAUGGAUUUUCAUAGUUAUUGUAAUAAAUUGCAUAUAAAGCUUUAAACUGACAUAAAUAGGAUAGAUGAUACAAUGUUUUCUUUAAAUUUGCCAAAUGUUAAUGGACUAAAUAUUGUUAACUACUUUUUUGCUUAUUACCUCUUCUAAUGCAUAAAUGUACCAUUUUAAAUUGAAACUGCCUUGUUUUUCAAGACAGAAAGACAUGAUGUGGGAUGUCCUUCUGUAUGAUGUGACUAUAUGUUUCUCUUCUUUCUUGAUGAAAAAAGCUGUGCUGGCUAAAUACCAGUCAGGAUAUACCAAGGGAGAAUGUAUAGGCAAAAUAACCAGAGUAGGAAAUUCUGAGAGAGGAAUACAUAGAGCAGAUCUUCAGACAGAUGCUAGGUAGCUGCUGGGAAGAUAAGUCGCCUGGUCAUUUUCUGGUUAGCCAAAACAACCUGGAGAUUCACUGAUUAAUACAAAUGGGUUAGUACCUAAAGGCUGCUAGCCAUUGAGUAGACUGUACCAAAGGACAAAUAAUUUAUAUUUUAUAUAACCCUCUGCGUGUUUAUUUGGGAGUGUAGUGUGGCAGAAUCAAGAUGAACACUCAAUUCUGCCUACACAUUACUGUUAGUGGAAAAAAUAAGCUGAGUUGCUUUGUUUUGUGAACAUGGAUGGUAGAGAGUUCCUCUUUUCACAGUUCACAUGUUAAGCACUGUGUUCCUAAGAAAUAGUGCUGACCUCAAUCGUCACUUUCUACAGGUCAUGUACAAACUGGCAUUGAAUUUUUUUGCAUUCAGUGCCCAAUUGUUUGCUAGCAACAACACAAUGGGGAAACAAGGGAGGGAAAUUUCUACAUAACCAAUCUUAGCUUUUCACAAAUUUGGGGGUUAAGUACCAACAAAUGUGGCAGAAGAAAUGUUACUUUUAUUUUGGUCUAAUUAUUAUAUAUACUCUGACUUCUUUAAUUUUCUGGAUCUAAAGUCAUAUGUGUUACACAAGGCUGUAUAAGGGUAUACAUAAUUAAAAUAUAACUCUGAAAUAUAAAUAAGUACUGGAAUUUUCUAUUUGGAAAAAUAUGGUUCAAUUGUUUCAAGUUAUAUUGUAAUGGCAAAUAUUCUAAAAAUUAUGUUAAACUAUUCAUAUUCUUGUGCUUCGUUACCAAAAAGACGUGAAAAAUUAUGAUCUCAUGUUAACUAUGUCAUGAAUUUUGUCUUAAACGUUGUGUAUUGCCUUAUUAGACUCAAAAAAUCUUAGAGAAAUUUAUAUUAAAAGAAAUAAAUAAUGUGGACCUAAAAAAAUGAGUAGUUUUGUCGGUCCCAAUAACACAAUCAAGUAAGGAAGUGUGAGUAUCUGGUUGUCUCUAUGUGUGUGGUUGUAUAAGUACAAUCAAAUAAAGAACAUCAUUGAAUUCAGGUAUCAGGAGUAUGAACCUGUAAUAGAACAUUAAAUAAAAUAAUUAACAAUCGAACAAAAAGGCAACUAUAUAUGUUAACACUCUUUUUGUACUUACAACAUGUUUCCUUGUUCCCAAAAAAUGAUUUUGUUGCCGCUUUGAACAUAUUUUUGGCACACAAGGUUAUGUUAAUGCAGCCGGAUAUUGUACAAAUGCUGUGCAAAGUUACCUAAAAUUAAAAUGUGGAACAAUUUA